AUUGUAUAUAAAUAAACAAAGCAGGCAUCUAAAAAAUCAUACUUAAAAUUAUAUUUAUAUAUCACUAUUCGUCAUAUUCUAAAUUUGUAAAGCCGUUGUGUAUGCAAAAUUAAGAGUAAUACAUGAGGAAGUUGUCGGGGUUUCGCUAAAUAAUAACAACGAUGCUGGGAGUAAUUACCAAACAAAUUCUAGUUAUGUCUAUACGCUGCCUGGCCACCCGCAAGGACGGCAUGCUUCGUAAAGGACCUAGGCUGCCUAGGCUACCGAUUAAAGGACCAAGGGAUUUCGAUUACUGGCGUGGCUUGAAGCGAAAACCAAAAAAGCCAAAAGAUAAAAUUACAAAAGUUAAUAGAUUUAAACAUCGUAAACCGGAAAUUCGCAAGCCAAAGGAGAAAAGAGAAAUGCCAACAGAAGAAGACGAAGAAGCAGCAAAAAAAUCAACGUGAAUUUAAUAAAAUCCAUUAAUUCGGAAACUAAAUACAUUUGAAUAAAAUGCAAUGUACAUGACAGCUCUAACCUAAAUGUGCCCAAUUAAUCGAUAUUUUAUUUGAAAACUCAAUCUGCCUCUUGUCUACUUGUUGGAUUUUUAAUAAUCAAAAUGGAUGCUCUUUGGAUUCACCUGGUCAAGGCGCUCCUGAAGAACAUCCAGCUUUCGGAGUAAACUGCAAUACAUCUGGCAACUCUACGCACAGCUGGGCUGUAAAUGUACUCAUACUCGAUGCCGCAAAAGUACUGUUUGCAAAAAGCAUCUGGCUUUGUCUUCAGCUUUGUUUAUUCGUUCGCUGGUAUUUGCCUGGCAUGGCGCUGUUGAGGAGCGUUUCGAAUGGCUUUUCGGCUGUAUUCCGGCGCUUUGCCAGCUCGAGUGGCUGCACCAUUUACAGCCUCAGUUCGGGGCACGUCAAGUGCGGCGUCUCCGUCAUCCGUGUGUCUGGGCCACAAACAAAGCAGGCGCUGCGCGCUGUUGUGAACAACAGCGAAUACGAGCCGAAGCAGCGGCUGGCAUAUCUGAAAUCAUUUUAUCAUCCCACCAGCAAAGAGAUCAUCGACAGGGGUCUGCUAUUGUGGUUUCCCGGUCCAGCCUCCUUCACGGGCGAAGAUGCUUGUGAGUUUCAAGUGCACGGCUCGCUUGCCGUCAUUUCGGCUAUGCUCGAUGCCCUGGGCCAAUUACCGGGUCUACGGCCCGCACAGCCGGGUGAAUUUACAAAGCGAGCGUUUUUCGGAGGCAAGCUGGACUUGACCGAAGUGGAGGGCCUAUCCGAUUUGAUACACGCCGAAACUGAGGCACAGCGCAAACAGGCUUUGCUACAAAGCACCGGCACCCUGGGCCGCCUCUAUGAUAACUGGCGCAAGCGUCUUAUUCGCUGUGCCGCACAUUUGGAGGCGUACAUUGACUUCGCCGAGGAUGAGCAAAUAGAAGGCGGCGUAGUAUUGAAGUUGACCAAGGAACUAAAAGCCGUGCAACGCGAGAUACGCGCUCAUCUGAAUGACCAGCGGCAGGGCGAGCUGCUGCGAGACGGUGUACGCACUGUCAUUAUCGGAGCUCCAAAUGUAGGCAAGAGCAGCCUGUUAAAUCUGCUCUGCCAGCGUGCAGUGUCCAUUGUGACCGAUCAGGCGGGCACCACACGAGAUAUAAUAGAGACAACGCACAGCUUUGGCGGCUAUCCCGUUGUCUUUGCGGAUACGGCAGGACUUCGUAAGCACACAACGGACGCAAUUGAGAUGGAGGGCAUGGCCCGAGCAAGGCAAUGUCUCGCCCAGUCUGACCUUAUAUUGCUGCUGACGGAUGCGAAAGCUCUGCGAGAUGUGGACAGCAAUGAAUCCCUAAAUGGCCGUAUCGACAGCUAUUUGCAGGAGCUGGACAUACCAAAGGAGCUGUGCAGGGGCAAACGCUUGCAGCUGGUGGCAAACAAAACGGAUACGCUAUCUGCCGAAGAGAUUGACCAUCUCAGGAAACUAAAGGAUGUGCUGUGCAUAUCUUGCCACAAGCAAGACAACUUGCCGGAGUUUCUGGGCUCCUUAGAGCAGCUGCUGCAACAACUAUGUGGAACACCGCAGGCGGAACAUCCACGCAUCACGCACAGCCGCUAUCGACAGCAACUGGAGCGCUGCAUCGAACACAUCGAGAUAUUCCUAAGAGAUUACAAGCCCGAUGUCUUCCCUGACAUGGCCAUAGCAGCACAGCAGCUGCGUAAAUCGGUGCGCUGUAUCGAACGCAUCACUGGACAUGUCAGCUGCGAAGACAUACUCGAUGUUAUCUUCAAAGACUUUUGCAUUGGAAAAUAGUUCAUAUGCCUAAUCAUUAAGUACAAAGAUUGUAUAGACUACAAACAAAGUGAAUUGAUUACCAAUGCACUAUCACUACCAUAAGCCAUUAAUCUUAACUUGUAUAUUUAAGCAGUCCAAUAAUAUAAUAUUUUUGAAAGAAAGAGAUAUCAAAUAGAAUACCCCUAUUUAGAGCAGUCUUUCAAAAUUUGAAUUCGAUAAGGAAUUGUAGCAAAAAAUACUAUCGAUAGACCGAUUGCUCAAGUGUCCACUUACAUCACUAGAAAAUAU
This is an RNA transcript of Drosophila mojavensis, 2553 nucleotides long. It is a transcript of the gene named tRNA modification GTPase GTPBP3, mitochondrial, with no coding region annotated. The transcript is spliced from 3 exons. NCBI's taxonomy places the organism in Eukaryota, Metazoa, Arthropoda, Insecta, Diptera, Drosophilidae. The record is from RefSeq and is a predicted model, not a curated record.